GGGUCAGUAGGUUGGUCGUGCCACCGGUACGUACUGGUCUCACUGAUUCCUCCUCCCUGAAGAACCGUAAUGCCAUUAAUUUGGUGUUGCGGGGAAACAGGACUGUUACUUUGAAAAAAUUAGAGUGUUUAAAGCAAGCUAACGCUUGAAUACAUUAGCAUGGAAUAAUGAAAUAGGACGAUCGAUCCCAUUUUGUUGGUUUCUAGGAUUGACGUA
Molecule: ribosomal RNA, 216 nt
Filed under: Glomeromycotina sp.
Lineage: Eukaryota; Fungi; Glomeromycota
Description: partial small subunit ribosomal RNA
Rfam family: Eukaryotic small subunit ribosomal RNA (bases 75-216)
Source: RNAcentral